Cebus imitator (Panamanian white-faced capuchin) is the source of this 99-nucleotide small nucleolar RNA. RefSeq annotates it as small nucleolar RNA U13. The record is from RefSeq and is a predicted model, not a curated record. NCBI's taxonomy places the organism in Eukaryota, Metazoa, Chordata, Mammalia, Primates, Cebidae. The transcript has a single exon.
AUCUUUUUGUAGUUCAUGAAUGACUGGGUGUUCACGCACAUGUGUGAGAUGUGCUAUCCUUGAACCUUGUUACGAUGUCGGCACAUUACUGGUCUGACU